GUAGGUGAACCUGCGGAAGGAUCAUUAUCGAGUUAGGGUCCUCUGGGCCCCAUCUCCAACCCUUGCCUACUACGCUACUGCGGCACUCCGCCGCGGGGGCUUUAAAAUUUCUUUUUAAACUCUUUAACCAUGUCGUCCUGCGGGAGAAUCUUAAUUUAAGCAAAACUUUCAACAACGGAUCUCUUGGUUCUGGCAUCGAUGAAGAACGCAGCAUCUGACUGACUGAACUGUAUCUCAUCUCGUAUGCCGU
This 250-nucleotide unclassified non-coding RNA is filed under the name plant metagenome. Its description in RNAcentral is "partial contains small subunit ribosomal RNA, internal transcribed spacer 1, and 5.8S ribosomal RNA". The record is from RNAcentral.